UAGGGAAUAUUGGGCAAUGGUCGAAAGACUGACCCAGCCACGCCGCGUGCAGGAGGAAGGCCCUCUGGGUUGUAAACUGCUUUAGCAGGGGAAGAAAAGACUCAUGCGUGAGGCAUUGACGGUACCCUGAGAAUAAGCACCGGCUAACUACGUGCCAGCAGCCGCGGUAAUACGUAGGGUGCAAGCGUUGUCCGGAUUUAUUGGGUUUAAAGGGUGCGUAGGCGGCCUAUUAAGUCAGUGUUUAAAUUUUGCAGCUUAACUGUAGGUAUGGCAUUGAUACUGAUGGGCUUGAAUAUUAAGGAGGUAGCUGGAAUUUAUGGUGUAGCGGUGAAAUGCAUAGAUACCAUAAGGAACACCGAUAGCGGAGGCAUGUUACCACUUGAUAAUUGACGCUGAGGCACGAAAGUGUGGGGAUCAAACAGG
Molecule: ribosomal RNA, 423 nt
Filed under: uncultured bacterium
Lineage: Bacteria
Description: bacterial SSU rRNA
Rfam family: Bacterial small subunit ribosomal RNA
Source: RNAcentral